RNAcentral lists this ribosomal RNA (589 nucleotides) under uncultured bacterium. RNAcentral's name for it is "partial 16S ribosomal RNA". It matches the Rfam family "Bacterial small subunit ribosomal RNA", at positions 356 to 1375 of the family's 1533-position model. The record is from RNAcentral.
UGGGAAUUUUGGACAAUGGGGGAAACCCUGAUCCAGCCAUCCCGCGUGUGCGAUGAAGGCCUUCGGGUUGUAAAGCACUUUUUGGCAGGAAAGAAACGUCGCGGGUUAAUACCCCGCGGAACUGACGGUACCUGCAGAAUAAGCACCGGCUAACUACGUGCCAGCAGCCGCGGUAAUACGUAGGGUGCAAGCGUUAAUCGGAAUUACUGGGCGUAAAGCGUGCGCAGGCGGUUCGGAAAGAAAGAUGUGAAAUCCCAGAGCUUAACUUUGGAACUGCAUUUUUAACUACCGGGCUAGAGUGUGUCAGAGGGAGGUGGAAUUCCGCGUGUAGCAGUGAAAUGCGUAGAUAUGCGGAGGAAUACCGAUGGCGAAGGCAGCCUCCUGGGAUAACACUGACGCUCAUGCACGAAAGGCGUGGGGAGCAAACAGGAUUAGAUACCCUGGUAGUCCACGCCCUAAACGAUGUCAACUAGCUGUUGGGGUCUUCGGGACCUUGGUAGCGCAGCUAACGCGUGAAGUUGACCGCCUGGGGGAGUACGGUCGCAAAGAUUAAAACUCAAAUGAAUUGACGGGGUCAUAGCUGUUUCCU